AGUGAACGCUGGCGGUAGGCCUAACACGCACGUCGACCGGCAGCACAGUAAGAGCUUGCUCUUACGGGUGGCGAGUGGCGGACGGGUGAGGAAUACAUCGGAAUCUACUUUUUCGUGGGGGAUAACGUAGGGAAACUUACGCUAAUACCGCAUACGACCUACGGGUGAAAGCAGGGGAUCUUCGGACCUUGCGCGAUUGAAUGAGCCGAUGUCGGAUUAGCUAGUUGGCGGGGUAAAGGCCCACCAAGGCGACGAUCCGUAGCUGGUCUGAGAGGAUGAUCAGCCACACUGGAACUGAGACACGGUCCAGACUCCUACGGGAGGCAGCAGUGGGGAAUAUUGGACAAUGGGCGCAAGCCUGAUCCAGCCAUACCGCGUGGGUGAAGAAGGCCUUCGGGUUGUAAAGCCCUUUUGUUGGGAAAGAAAAGCAGCAGGUUAAUACCCCGCUGUUCUGACGGUACCCAAAGAAUAAGCAUCGGCUAACUUCGUG
This 490-nucleotide ribosomal RNA is filed under the name uncultured bacterium. RNAcentral describes it as "partial 16S ribosomal RNA". It matches the Rfam family "Bacterial small subunit ribosomal RNA", at positions 29 to 507 of the family's 1533-position model. The record is from RNAcentral.